AGUGCUGGGGGACCCGGCGCACCCUCCGCAGCUGCUGGCCCGGGUGCUAAACCCCUCACUGCCCGGGCCGGCGGUGCCGGCGGGCUGCUCUCAGUGCGGGACCUCGGAGCCUGCGCCCACCCGGAACUAGCCGCGUUCAGCCCUGGUUCCCGCCCCCGCCUCUCCCGCCACACCUCUCCACAAGCAGAGGGAGCUGGCUUCAGCCUCAGCCAGCACAGAGAGGGGCCCCCAUAGCGCAGUGGCGGGCUGAAGGGCUCCUUGAGCAUGGCCAGAGUGGACGCCAAGGCUGAGGAGGCGCCGAGAGCCAGUGAGGGCUGCUAGCAUGUUGUCACCUCUCAAUACAUAAAACUACUGGAGGGUGGUUCCAAGAUGGCCAAAUAGGAACAGCUCCAGUCUACAGCUCCCAGCAUGAGUGAUGCAGAAGACGAAUGAUUUCUGCAUUUCCAACUCAGUAGAGAGCUGACUUUAGAGGGAUCAAGAAUAGCUUGCUGGAUGGAAGGAGCUUGGGGCCAGUCAUCAUCUUAAAGGCUCUGUGGCAGCUUGGACUUGAAGUAGGGUGCAC
This 562-nucleotide long non-coding RNA is filed under the name Homo sapiens (human). Its description in RNAcentral is "non-protein coding lnc-STYX-5:2". Lineage: Eukaryota; Metazoa; Chordata; Mammalia; Primates; Hominidae. The record is from RNAcentral.